CGAGAAAGCCCGCAAGGGUGAGUACAGUGGCGUACGGGUGAGUAACACGAGGAUCAUCUACCUUUUAGUGGGGAAUACCGUUGGGAAACCGACGACAAUACCGCAUAAUCCCGAGAGGGGAAAGCAGCAAUGCGCUGAAAGAGGAGUCCGCGGCUGAUUAGCUAGUUGGCAGGGUAAUGGCCUACCAAGGCAACGAUCAGUAGCCGGCCUGAGAGGGCACACGGCCACACUGGCACUGAAACACGGGCCAGACUCCUACGGGAGGCAGCAGUGGGGAAUCUUGCACAAUGGGGGCAACCCUGAUGCAGCGACGCCGCGUGAGCGAUGAAGCCCUUCGGGGUGUAAAGCUCUUUCGGCAGGGAAGAUGAUGACGGUACCUGCAGAAGCAGCUGCGGCUAACUACGUGCCAGCAGCCGCGGUAAUACGUAGGCAGCAAGCGUUGUUCGGAGUUACUGGGCGUAAAGGGUGUGUAGGCGGUUCCCUAAGUUUGGUGUGAGAUCUCCCGGCUUAACCGGGAGGGUGCGCCGAAAACUGGGGAGCUAGAGUGUGGGAGAGGAAAGUGGAAUUCCUGGUGUAGCGGUGAAAUGCGUAGAUAUCAGGAGGAACACCUGCGGUGUAGACGGCUUUCUGGACCAUAACUGACGCUGAGACACGAAAGCGUGGGUAGCAAACAGGAUUAGAUACCCUGGUAGUCCACGCCCUAAACGAUGCAUAUUUGGUGUGGGCGAUUCAUUUCGUCCGUGCCGGAGCUAACGCGUUAAAUAUGCCGCCUGGGGAGUACAGUCGCAAGGCUGAAACUCAAAGGAAUUGACGGGGGCCCGCACAAGCGGUGGAGCAUGUGGUUUAAUUC
This 850-nucleotide ribosomal RNA is filed under the name uncultured bacterium gp3. Its description in RNAcentral is "bacterial SSU rRNA". It matches the Rfam family "Bacterial small subunit ribosomal RNA", at positions 67 to 952 of the family's 1533-position model. The record is from RNAcentral.